CCAGACUCCUACGGGAGGCAGCAGUGGGGAAUAUUGCACAAUGGGCGAAAGCCUGAUGCAGCAACGCCGCGUGAGUGAUGAAGGCCUUCGGGUCGUAAAACUCUGUCCUCAAGGAAGAUAAUGACGGUACUUGAGGAGGAAGCCCCGGCUAACUACGUGCCAGCAGCCGCGGUAAUACGGGGGAUGCAAGCGUUAUCCGGAUUUAUUGGGUUUAAAGGGUGCGUAGGCUGUGAGGUAAGUCAGCGGUGAAAUGCCCCCGCUCAACGGGGUGAAGUGCCAUUGAUACUGCCUUGCUGGAAUGCGGAUGCCGUGGGAGGAAUGUGUGGUGUAGCGGUGAAAUGCAUAGAUAUCACACAGAACACCGAUUGCGAAGGCAUCUCACGAAUCCGCGAUUGACGCUGAUGCACGAAAGCGUGGGUAUCAAACAGGAUUAGAUACCCUAGUAC
Molecule: ribosomal RNA, 446 nt
Filed under: uncultured bacterium
Lineage: Bacteria
Description: bacterial SSU rRNA
Rfam family: Bacterial small subunit ribosomal RNA
Source: RNAcentral